GACAGAGGGUGCAAACGUUGUUCGGAUUUACUGGGCGUAAAGCGCGUGUAGGCGGCUCGGCAAGUCGGGUGUGAAAGCCCCGGGCUCAACCUGGGAAGUGCACCCGAAACUGCCGAGCUGGAGUACUGGAGAGGACGGCGGAAUUCUCGGUGUAGAGGUGAAAUUCGUAGAUAUCGGGAGGAACACCUGUGGCGAAGGCGGCUCACUGGACCACAACUGACGCUGAGGCGCGAAAGCUAGGGGAGCAAACAGG
This 253-nucleotide ribosomal RNA is filed under the name uncultured bacterium. Its description in RNAcentral is "partial 16S ribosomal RNA". It matches the Rfam family "Bacterial small subunit ribosomal RNA", at positions 524 to 776 of the family's 1533-position model. The record is from RNAcentral.